RNAcentral lists this ribosomal RNA (1055 nucleotides) under Apilactobacillus kunkeei. RNAcentral describes it as "bacterial SSU rRNA". It matches the Rfam family "Bacterial small subunit ribosomal RNA", at positions 342 to 1390 of the family's 1533-position model. The record is from RNAcentral. Lineage: Bacteria; Bacillati; Bacillota; Bacilli; Lactobacillales; Lactobacillaceae.
CGGGAGGCAGCAGUAGGGAAUCUUCCACAAUGGACGAAAGUCUGAUGGAGCAACGCCGCGUGAGUGAUGAAGGUUUUCGGAUCGUAAAACUCUGUUGUUAAAGAAGAACAAGUGUUAGAGUAACUGUUAACACUUUGACGGUAUUUAACCAGAAAGCCACGGCUAACUACGUGCCAGCAGCCGCGGUAAUACGUAGGUGGCAAGCGUUGUCCGGAUUUAUUGGGCGUAAAGCGAGCGCAGGCGGUUUUGUAAGUCUGCUGUGAAAGCCCUCAGCUCAACUGAGGAAGUGCAGUGGAAACUACAAAACUUGAGUACAGAAGAGGAAAGUGGAACUCCAUGUGUAGCGGUGAAAUGCGUAGAUAUAUGGAAGAACACCAGUGGCGAAGGCGGCUUUCUGGUCUGUUACUGACGCUGANGCUCGAAAGCAUGGGUAGCGAACAGGAUUAGAUACCCUGGUAGUCCAUGCCGUAAACGAUGAAUACUAGGUGUUGGAGGGUUUCCGCCCUUCAGUGCCGCAGCUAACGCAUUAAGUAUUCCGCCUGGGGAGUACGACCGCAAGGUUGAAACUCAAAGGAAUUGACGGGGGCCCGCACAAGUGGUGGAGCAUGUGGUUUAAUUCGAUGCUACGCGAAGAACCUUACCAGCUCUUGACAUCUUCUGCCAACCCAAGAGAUUGGGCGUUCCCUUCGGGGACAGAAUGACAGGUGGUGCAUGGUUGUCGUCAGCUCGUGUCGUGAGAUGUUGGGUUAAGUCCCGCAACGAGCGCAACCCUUAUUAUUAGUUGCCAGCAUUUAGUUGGGCACUCUAGUGAGACUGCCGGUGAUAAACCGGAGGAAGGUGGGGACGACGUCAAAUCAUCAUGCCCCUUAUGAGCUGGGCUACACACGUGCUACAAUGGAUGGUACAACGAGUCGCGAAACCGCGAGGUCAAGCUAAUCUCUUAAAGCCAUUCUCAGUUCGGAUUGCAGGCUGCAACUCGCCUGCAUGAAGUUGGAAUCACUAGUAAUCGUGGAUCAGCAUGCCACGGUGAAUACGUUCCCGGGCCUUGUACACAC